GUAGUGUAGCGGUUAACACGCCUGCCUGUCACGCAGGAGAUCGCGGGUUCGAUUCCCGUC
RNAcentral lists this transfer RNA (60 nucleotides) under Staphylococcus aureus M0853. Its description in RNAcentral is "tRNA-Asp". It matches the Rfam family "tRNA", at positions 7 to 64 of the family's 71-position model. Rfam says of the family: Transfer RNA (tRNA) molecules are approximately 80 nucleotides in length. Their secondary structure includes four short double-helical elements and three loops (D, anti-codon, and T loops). Lineage: Bacteria; Bacillati; Bacillota; Bacilli; Caryophanales; Staphylococcaceae. The record is from RNAcentral.